UGGAAUAAAAACAACAGCCACACCAGCCAAACCAGCCACACUGGUGACCUGUCGGGCUCCUCCACCUGGGAAUCUCCUGGUCUGUGGGCAAUAAAAAUACGUCUGGAAAUGUGGCAUCCACUCACCCUCUGCACUUU
Molecule: long non-coding RNA, 137 nt
Organism: Sapajus apella (tufted capuchin)
Lineage: Eukaryota; Metazoa; Chordata; Mammalia; Primates; Cebidae
Exons: 3
Source: RefSeq, a predicted model, not a curated record